This 1699-nucleotide ribosomal RNA is filed under the name Salmonella enterica subsp. enterica serovar Choleraesuis. RNAcentral describes it as "partial 23S ribosomal RNA". It matches the Rfam family "Bacterial large subunit ribosomal RNA", at positions 1038 to 2719 of the family's 2925-position model. The record is from RNAcentral. Lineage: Bacteria; Pseudomonadati; Pseudomonadota; Gammaproteobacteria; Enterobacterales; Enterobacteriaceae.
GCUAAGGUCCCAAAGUCAUGGUUAAGUGGGAAACGAUGUGGGAAGGCCCAGACAGCCAGGAUGUUGGCUUAGAAGCAGCCAUCAUUUAAAGAAAGCGUAAUAGCUCACUGGUCGAGUCGGCCUGCGCGGAAGAUGUAACGGGGCUAAACCAUGCACCGAAGCUGCGGCAGCGACGCUGAUGCGUUGUUGGGUAGGGGAGCGUUCUGUAAGCCUGUGAAGGUGGCCUGUGAGGGUUGCUGGAGGUAUCAGAAGUGCGAAUGCUGACAUAAGUAACGAUAAAGCGGGUGAAAAGCCCGCUCGCCGGAAGACCAAGGGUUCCUGUCCAACGUUAAUCGGGGCAGGGUGAGUCGACCCCUAAGGCGAGGCCGAAAGGCGUAGUCGAUGGGAAACGGGUUAAUAUUCCCGUACUUGGUGUUACUGCGAAGGGGGGACGGAGAAGGCUAUGUUGGCCGGGCGACGGUUGUCCCGGUUUAAGCGUGUAGGUGUGUGUUCCAGGUAAAUCCGGUUCACUUUAACACUGAGGCGUGAUGACGAGGCACUACGGUGCUGAAGCAACAAAUGCCCUGCUUCCAGGAAAAGCCUCUAAGCAUCAGGUAACAUCAAAUCGUACCCCAAACCGACACAGGUGGUCAGGUAGAGAAUACCAAGGCGCUUGAGAGAACUCGGGUGAAGGAACUAGGCAAAAUGGUGCCGUAACUUCGGGAGAAGGCACGCUGACACGUAGGUGAAGUGAUUUACUCAUGGAGCUGAAGUCAGUCGAAGAUACCAGCUGGCUGCAACUGUUUAUUAAAAACACAGCACUGUGCAAACACGAAAGUGGACGUAUACGGUGUGACGCCUGCCCGGUGCCGGAAGGUUAAUUGAUGGGGUCAGCGCAAGCGAAGCUCCUGAUCGAAGCCCCGGUAAACGGCGGCCGUAACUAUAACGGUCCUAAGGUAGCGAAAUUCCUUGUCGGGUAAGUUCCGACCUGCACGAAUGGCGUAAUGAUGGCCAGGCUGUCUCCACCCGAGACUCAGUGAAAUUGAACUCGCUGUGAAGAUGCAGUGUACCCGCGGCAAGACGGAAAGACCCCGUGAACCUUUACUAUAGCUUGACACUGAACAUUGAGCCUUGAUGUGUAGGAUAGGUGGGAGGCUUUGAAGCGUGGACGCCAGUCUGCAUGGAGCCGGCCUUGAAAUACCACCCUUUAAUGUUUGAUGUUCUAACGUGGACCCGUGAUCCGGGUUGCGGACAGUGUCUGGUGGGUAGUUUGACUGGGGCGGUCUCCUCCUAAAGAGUAACGGAGGAGCACGAAGGUUGGCUAAUCCUGGUCGGACAUCAGGAGGUUAGUGCAAUGGCAUAAGCCAGCUUGACUGCGAGCGUGACGGCGCGAGCAGGUGCGAAAGCAGGUCAUAGUGAUCCGGUGGUUCUGAAUGGAAGGGCCAUCGCUCAACGGAUAAAAGGUACUCCGGGGAUAACAGGCUGAUACCGCCCAAGAGUUCAUAUCGACGGCGGUGUUUGGCACCUCGAUGUCGGCUCAUCACAUCCUGGGGCUGAAGUAGGUCCCAAGGGUAUGGCUGUUCGCCAUUUAAAGUGGUACGCGAGCUGGGUUUAGAACGUCGUGAGACAGUUCGGUCCCUAUCUGCCGUGGGCGCUGGAGAACUGAGGGGGGCUGCUCCUAGUACGAGAGGACCGGAGUGGACGCAUCACUGGUGUUCGG